Molecule: ribosomal RNA, 501 nt
Filed under: Triticum aestivum (bread wheat)
Lineage: Eukaryota; Viridiplantae; Streptophyta; Magnoliopsida; Poales; Poaceae
Description: partial small subunit ribosomal RNA
Source: RNAcentral
CUACAAGCUGACAACGGACGAGAAUUCGACAGCCAUGCCGCCCGCGCCUUCUUCGAUACCUAUGGCAUCGCGUUUCGCAUGUCUUGCCCUUACACGUCUGCGCAAAACAGGCGUGCCGAGCGCAUGCUCCGCACCCUAAACGAGACUGUUCGUGCCCUGCUCACCCAAGCGUCCAUGCCGCCCAUGUUCUGGGCCGAAGCUCUCGCCACGGCCACCUUCCUUCACAAUCGUCGCCCGUGCCGUGUUCGCCAGUACCUUACUCCUUUUGAGCUUUUGUACUGCGCCUCUCCCGAUUACAGUGGCAUCCGCGUCUUCGGAUGCCUCUGCUACCCGAACACCAGCGCCACUACCGCCCACAAGCUUGCGCCGCGCUCUGUUGCCUGCGUAUUCCUCGGCUACUCGUCGGAGCACAAGGGCUACCGGUGCCUCAACCGCGCCACCGGCCGCGUGCUCAUCUCCCGCCAUGUUUACUUCGACGAGGAACAAUUCCCCUUCGCCUCC